RNAcentral lists this transfer RNA (77 nucleotides) under Ketobacter alkanivorans. The record is from RNAcentral. RNAcentral also lists the same sequence under 1 other name. Lineage: Bacteria; Pseudomonadati; Pseudomonadota; Gammaproteobacteria; Pseudomonadales; Ketobacteraceae.
GCCGGGGUGAUGGAAUGGGCAGACAUGCUUGUUUUAGAAACAAGAUUUUGGGGAUUCGACUUCCCCCUCCGGCACCA